GUGUCAGCCGCCUCGGUAAUACGUAGGGGGCAAGCGUUGUCCGGAAUCAUUGGGCGUAAAGGGCGCGUAGGCGGUCAUUUAAGUCAGUGGUGAAAACCCAGGGCUCAACCCUGGGAAUGCCAUUGAAACUGGGUGACUUGAGUGCAGGAGAGGUAAGUGGAAUUCCCGGUGUAGCGGUGAAAUGCGUAGAUAUUGGGCGGAAAACCGAUGGCGAAGGCGACUUACUGGACUGUGUCUGACGCUGAGGCGCGAAAGCUAGGGGAGAGAACAGGAUUAGAUACCCUGGUAUUCCUAGCUGGAAACGAUGGGGACUAGGUGGGGGGGGUAUCGACCCCUUCCGUGCCGGAGUGAACGCAAUAAGUACCCCGCCUGGGGAGUACGGCCGCAAGGUUGAAACUCAAAUGAAUUUGAGG
This 413-nucleotide ribosomal RNA is filed under the name uncultured bacterium. RNAcentral describes it as "bacterial SSU rRNA". It matches the Rfam family "Bacterial small subunit ribosomal RNA", at positions 505 to 916 of the family's 1533-position model. The record is from RNAcentral.